AGCGAGCCCUAUUUAACGGCCAUCCAGUCUCCGUCGUUGCUACGAUCCUUUCCCUCUGACGUUACUUUUGCGGCUCGAACUCUUCUUUUUCUUUCUCCAUCCGUCGUUUUUGAUCUAACUCCCACUUCUCCGAUCGAAAUGUGGUUCUCUCGAUGACGAGAAACGAAGCAGACGGGCGGUCAGAACCUGAUGCCGUGUUGAAUGUCUGCAGCACUCAUCGACUUUCCUUGGAAAGCAUCCGAGAGAGAUUCCACUGAUCAUCGGUCUAAUAUCUAACGUUACGUACAUAUUUUGGUAGUUUGUGGUAUUAGUUUUGGUUUGAAACAUGAAUCUGAUCCGCUACGAUGAAGAUGCUGAAUACUUAUGUCUGGACAAACGAGAUCCUUUUCUGUGUCGAUGACUUGAUUUGCUUUUUCUGAGCAGCAUCAGAUCAAUUGUUUUUUGUUUUUGAUGGUCAAGUAAUUGCAUCAGUUACCCUCCUCUUAGAUGUUCAUUUGUGUGUUCUUUUGGAUCUAAGGGGAUAUAACGGGUGCAGAAAUCUAAAUGGUUGGCUUACCAGCCCAUGGCAUUUGAUUUGGUUGCUCUGGCGUCAAAUGGUCCGAUCGAAAUGCUUGUCAAAUAUCAAGAUGUUUCUUUUUUUCUGGAUUUUUUUUUCAAUCAAAAGGGUGGCAGAUGAUGUGAUCUUGAAAUCUUAUCCUACACACUGAAUCAUGGUGUGGACCAAUAACUCCGCUUAUUAUCUGAUGCCCCUUUUGCCGAUUGUUCUAUAUCUCAAUUUCUGAGUUUGUUGUUAAUAAAGUAGUGAUUUGAUGCUAUUAUGUAUAUCGUGGCCUACAUUUAUGUACUAGAACAGUCUUUGUGUUUAUUCUAGGGCUUUUCUGGCUGCUUAUCUUAGCAUUAUCUUGUAACUAUGUACGUGUAUAAUUGUUACUGAUUUUAUGGUGAUUUAUCUGUAGUUGUAAAUCUUCAGUGUUGUUGUGCUCGAUAACCCCAAAUCAAUCUUUUUUUUCAGCUAACUUGCAUUAUUAAAAAGAAACAGUUUUGUAGACUAGCCAUCAAUGGACUUUUAUGCAUAGGAGAAUCAUUUAGGACUUCUUCUAUUCGCAAACCUCCAUUAACAAUGGCGUUUUGAUUUCUUCUAUGAGGUGAUGUUUUUAGAAACAACCUUCAUCUUUGCCAAACGUAGGCUAGUCUUGGGAAGGUAAUAUGUUUCGCAAGUGGGAGGCAAAUGAUGUGAUUUCAAAUCUUAUCCUACACACUGAAAACACUGUGUGGACAGAUAACUCCGCUUAUUAUCUGAUGCCUCUUAACUUGUUUCAGUAUCGUUUGGUAUCUCUAUUGUUUUCUAGUCAAUUAGUUAUACUGGCAACUUUAUUUACUCAAAUUGGUUUGAGAUGACGAACGUAAAAAGUUUUAUUAUGUUCAUUGUGUAUGAUUAGAUAUAUGAACUAGGGGUCACGAUUGGUCUUACACCUCGCAGGUUCUUAUAUGUAAGCUCGUUCAUUGUUAACAUUCCGAGGUUUUGGUAAUCAUUUUGUUUCCAAACAUCAGCACUACAAGAAAUAUUCUUGUUUCCAAGUCUUAAUACCUGUUGUUUUUGUAAUGAGGUGAAUGGAACUGAUUGGCUGUUGCUGUCCUGAACUGAUGCAUCUCUUUUGUCCUGAACUGAUUAGAGUUAGGUUGCUACUGGGAAGUCCAUGCAUGACUUUUCAAAGAAGCAUUGAACCGUGGCGAGUGGUCAUCCAAAUUGUAUUUAUCAGGUAUUCAGCAUGGGAAUACUGCUUCUAAUACUAACUUUUUCUGGCAUUUAUUCAUUUGGGUUGCAUGUCCAUGUUUUGCAAUCACGAACAUCUGUCUUUAUGCAAUGCAAUCUCCUUUUCAUCCUAUUAGUUGAUAAGCAGAUACUGGUAAGUACUAACAUCAGUUGAUAUGGAUAUCAUAUUGUGCUACUAUGGCCAGGAGCAUCUGCAAAAGCUUGUAGAUGAUCAAUUGCAGCAACUCCUUUCUGGAUUAUCAUUCUGCACUUCACAUAUAACUGUUAAUUCUACUGUCGUUUCUAGAAUUAUUUUUUUCAUGUGUAAAUUAAACAAGUGAGCCUAUGCCACAAGUCUCUUUUCAGUGUUGUCCACUCAAAACACCUGUGUAUUGUGGUGGUGGUAGCAUUUGGCAUGGUUGAAAGUGAUACUGUAUGCCAUGUUAGGAAUAUGCAAUGCUGUUGUGUUUGAGGAAUUUUUAACAUGCCUUUUUCGAAGGCUCAUCAGAGAUGUCUGGCGUUAUUGUGGUUAAAGCAAUGGCAAGUGCCGUCUGGAAACGUUAAUGUGUACUAAUGCUGUGUUUGUGGGCUCCUCGGCAUUCCCGUUUAUGCUCUUUCGUGAUCGUUAUUGAACACCAAGUGUUUGAUAACGAUAAUAAUGUACAAUGUUUUCAUUAAUGUUUCAUCUGACAUUAUAUUUUCGUUAACAUGAUGAUGACGACGAUGUAAAUUCAUAUUUUCUUGAUUUUUGAGACGUACGAACACGUUCGAAAUAAGGUGUUUGGGCAGCAUAAGUUUGGGUUAUUAUGAUUUUGAUCAUGGAUAUUUUAAACUUUUAUAAUUUAUAAAUUUUUGGUUUAGUUUGACUUAACUGACUUGGUAUAUGCAAUUUAAAUUUAAGAAAAGGUUAAGGUUUAAUUUAGUCAUUUUUAUUUUGGUCAUGAAUCUUUUAAAUAUUUAUGAUUUAUUCAUGUCAAAUAAUUAAUAUAUUUUUAAAAACGUAAUAUGUAAGUAUAUGAGUCAUAUAUAUAUAUUUACUAACGAUGAGCUAAAGAGUUUUCGAUCAUAUUUCAGGUUAUUGUUCGACCCUAUAGCCUUAGCCACUUCCUCUUCCUUGACAAGUUGAUUGGGGAGAGCGAGCAGAUAUAAAAAAGUUACAUGAACCAGCUCAACUUCUCCUUUUGCUUGAUCUCCAUCUUCGUGAUACUGUGUUUCACGGGGUAGGUGGCUUACAAGAUAUGGUGGUACUCGUUAGGGUCGGAGCGGGUGUCAUUUGCCAUGCGGAGUGACAUGGUGGCGAGCGCCCUAAAGCUAGCGAGUUUGAUUUACCAUAUGUCACUCAUCAGUUCCAGGGCGCAUGCCACAACGUCGCCCACUACGACGUUGGUUGCCAUCGCAAACGACACUCGCUUCAAUCCUAACGAGUACCUCUCCCACCAUCACAUCAUAGGCACAGCAGGUGAGGGCGCAAGAGAGGACGAAGUGGAAGGUAGUAUGGACAAAGACGCCUAGGAGGAGAAAGAUGGCCAAAGAGACCAUUACAUGCCUAGCGUCGAACUGAUUAACGCACAUCCACUUGAGGCAGAAUCGGAAGCUCUUGAGCUCGUCAUCAGCGCGAAAGAUGCUAUGUGCAUAUGAUGCCCUACUACACGGUAGCAGUUCGGUGCUACUACCGAUGGUCGCUUCCACGAUAACGCAUCCUCCCACUAUUGAUAGUAGUGUUACUUGAGAGGAGGAGUGUAUAUGCUAUGUUUUUUAUAAUGUAUGAACUCUAUUAUACACGAGUAAACCAUAAAGAUUUAAAAGAUCUAAGACAAAAAUCACAUGGGCUAAAAUGAAUUUAAACUUAAAUUACACGUGUCAUUAUAUUAAUUAUUUAUUAUGAGUCAGUAUGUCACAUAAGGGGCUAAAAUUGAUCUUUAAGUUUUUUGUUUAGGAAUGGGGGGUUUGUUGAUAAUAUACGAUAUGUGUUGUUUCAAGAUGUCGAGGAUGGUCAUAGAGUAGGUUAAUUAUCGAUUAUAAUUAAAUCUUCUUAACAUCUCGAUCUCUAGAUUUAAGAAAUUUACAAUGGAAUCCUGUAAAAGUAAAAUAUUUAACUCUAUUUAUCUUAACAUUAUUGGUUUUACCGAAAAAAACAUGAAAAUAAUGGAUAAAAAUCUUAACAUUAUUGGUUUUAUAAAAAAAAAACAUGAAAAUAAUGGAUAAAAAGAUCCUUUAACUUUAUGACAGAUUAUUAUGGAUGAGGAGGAAGAGCGAAGGUGAGGGCAAUCCCGCCCAACAGUCACCCGUACUUCAUUCAUUAUCCACUCACCCGUACUUCAUUCAUUAUCCACCCAUUAGAACAUUAAAAUUAUUUUUUUACUCAUUAUUUUUAUACUUUCAUUAUUAAAACCAAACGAUAUUAAAACAUCCUUGAAAUUUUGAUUCCUAAGUUUAAAAUAAUUUAUAUUGGAAUCCUAGUAAAAUAUCUAACUCAAUUUAAGGAUAACUCGAUUUAAGGAUGUCUAACAACCAAAAAUAAUUGUAAUUAGCAAACAAUGAUUGGUGUAGAAAAGAAUUGAUCUCGGUGCCUUACCUUACCCCCUUAUGGGUAACAUUCACCUUUGUAAUAGCGACUAUACAAGAGGAUAAGAAACACCAGCAACUAUUUUGGAAGUUCAGACUGAAUAAACCUGGAAAGAGCACCCUCUAGUAAUUGUUUCAAUUGAAUCAAGCAUGAGAUGCAACAUUCCUUGCAUCACAAGCAUUUUCCAUUUCAAAUCAACAAUCAGUCGAUGCAAAUUCCAAAUAAGCUAGCAGGCUUUCAAUAGAACACAAAAUUUCGGUGUUCUUGAGAACUGAAUUCAGUUAUCAAACUACACCUACAUGGAUUAAUACAAUGGACAAACAAAUUGGUGAUGGCAGAACACCAAAAUCUUCUGAAAAUUGUGAUCAUCUUUUGAAAAGUCAUGUUGUUCACCUUAUGGCUCCAUUUGCAAUGGAUAAUACUUUGCAAACACCAGCAGAUGUCGUGAAGGGAACAUCCUUGUAGCACGCUACCAACUCUGAAUUGGACUGCAGAUCAACCUGCACCUUCUCCCAAACUUUGCUCUUGGCACUUAAGAUGCCAUCAGGCUCCCCCGAGUAUCCAGGAAAGGUUACUCGCUCGCCCACUGCAGCUGAUGAAGGUGGGUCAACCAACUCCACCUGGUAUUAAACACAUUAGUUAUUAUCAAGAAACUGCUGUAACACUGAUAUGAGAAAUUAAACACCUUAGUUAAUCAUACACAUGUAGUCUUGAAGGGCUUAAAACUGCGUUUAACUUAAGAUAGACCAAAACAAAAGGAGGAAGCACUGUGGCUUACCUUUGUGUGGUCAUCAUUUGAUGCAGCCAAGACCAUUGCAUGUGAUUUGAUGCCUCGCAUGGUGACUGGCUUUAGGUUGCACAGAACACAUACUUUCCGAUUCUGCAGGAGUAUUGUAGUAGAAUAAAUAGAGAUUCAUAUCCAAUGGGAACAGAAAAAGGUAGAGAGUAACAAACCUGCAUUUCUUCAAGAGGAAUAUAUUUCACAAGACCACUAACAACAGUUCUUGGUGAUUCUUCACCUACAUCGAUUUCUUCUACAUAAAGUGAAUCAGCAUCUGGAUGCUUCUGAACCUUCUUUAUGAGGCCAACACGUACAUCAAGUUUCGAAACCGAAAUCUCUGUUUCAGCAGUUUUUGCUUUUGUAUUGCCAGAAGGCUUAUUUUGUUGUUUCUUUGCAUUACCUAUUGGCACAAAUGACAUGCAAAACUUAACAUGCUAUUGUCAAAGAAAAAUAUACAACCAAAGGCCGACAUGAGCUCGUGAGGAACAGUUUCAUUUGAACUUUAACUGUCCUGAAACAUGCACCACGCGUAAAUCAUACACAUUAACAAUCUGGAAAAGACCAUCUGCGCAAAAUGUGCAAACUUAUGAUUAAUAAGAAUGCUUUGGGUGUGGAUGCUUAUGAGAGCACUUGAGAACAAUGCCUCUGGAUCUGAACAUGUAAUCUCAAUUUAGUUUUUGACUAAAAUUUUAAAUUGAAUAAAACCUAUUCUCAUCAGCUCAGUAAAAGCCAAAACUUUGCACAGCUCCAAGACCACUAGUGGAGUUUUGCUACAUAGAGUUGUUCUUACUGCUGAUGACUGUUGAUGAUAAUAUGACUAGUCAAACUAGGAGUCAUCAAAUAACUUGUUACCAGUAAUAUCUUCAUAAGUCUCCCUCUUAACUCUGCUCAUGCCACUAAUUUGAAUUGUCUCGCCUCACCUUCAGGUUUUUGGAUCAGUUCAAAUUACCCUAAAUAGUAUUUUCUGUUAUAUCCUCAAUCAUAACUAUACCCAUUUUAUCUCAUAAAUGUGAAUAUCUUUUAUUCUAUCUUCUUUAAAUCCCCACGCGUUAUCUAGGUACUCAUAAUUUUUUUCUUCUAAUCUAAGAGUUGCAUGGCAACUACAAAACACUGCAGAUGAACCACUACAUUUAAAUCUAUAAGCAAAUAAAUCAUGUUAUUGUGAUUUAAAAUUCUGCAUUAUAAAUGCUUUGUCAGAGCUGUAUUGCCUAAGUUUUUCUGUAGCUCAAUUUACCUGCUUUUGCCAUUUUUCUGAUUCAUUCUGCUAAAAACUUAGCUAAGAAACAAAGAUCAAAUAUAGAAAUUGAGGAAAGAUAUUUAGACACCCAUAGUCCAGAACAUGGUAAAACUUGAAUCUUAGGCAUCAACUUCUCUGUGAACUUUAUGAACCUUCUUCCAAAUGUUAUUUAUUAGUAUAAAACAUAUGAAUUUUUUUUAAAUCCCAACUCUUAAGUCUCAAAGUCCAUGACAGAUUAAAACCCAUUCUUUUUGAAUUGCUUAUUGCAUCUUAUGCCUUUUUUCUGGUUUACUAAAAGUUCAUAGCUUGUAAUGAAAAAAUAGGAGAUUUUUUAUAACAUGGGUCAGAAACACUCUACCUGUUAUCUUUGUGGCUUUUAGUUGCUCAGCAACUUUAUUUGCAUCAGUUUCAGCCUUCACAAUUCUCUCAGCUUGACUACCAGCAAAUCUCACCCUGAAGGAUUCCACGUCUUCAUCUUUCUGCUCGGAAGAGCAUUCAAUAAAUAUCCAAGCGAGUGAAAUGCAAUUGACAAAAUCAUGCACAAAGUUAAUAUGUAUAAAAAUGAGCUAUCAAGCGAUAAACAAACUAAUGCACACCAGUUCCUUAAACAGUGGUUCAGGUUUCCCUAUAUGGUGACCAGAUGGCAGAAAAUCCCAAGGUCUCUUUGCUUUGUCAGUUUCUCCAUUUUCAUCACAAAAGGAGAGAUUGGCUUCCAGAGGUAAAUUGAGCUGCCUUAGCACCUAGCACACCAAAGAAACAUUAUCCAGAUCUCAUUAGAGAACCCUAAAACCAAAGAUUAAGCAGCAGAAGGUGCUUAUCAAACAUAAACAAGCAAAGGGAAUAAAGAGAAAGUAAAAUUUACUUCAACAGAAAAUGAAGGCAUGAAUGGUUCCAACAAACAUGCAAGAAGGUAGACAAGCCCAGCUGAGGUCUUCAUCACAAUGGCACAAGAAGAUGGAUCUUCUUUGAACAGCUUCCAGAAUUGGCUUUCCUAUAUCACAUACCCAAAAAAAAGGUAAUAGAACUAGCAUACAAGUACUCACAAUUGACAAAGAAAAUUCAAUGGAACCUACUUGGAGAUAUGCAUUUCCUUCACUGGAUAUGCUCAUUGCAAUCUUUAGACCUUGUUUUAGUUUAACCUGCAAAAGACAGCAAAUUAUUUUCUCCAGUAAUUAAUAUAUCACACAAACUAAUCACCGAAUUGAGGUGUGUGUGCGUGUGGAGGCUUUUGUAUCUUAGUCAAAAUCAAACUUCACAUAAUCACCUUUUCCAUAGCAUCCAGAUAUUGGUCAACCAAUUUACCAACUUUUUCUCCUAAAUAUUUUGUUAGCUGCUGAGAUUGUGGAUUUGAAGCAUCAGGAAUGAUUGACCCAUAUCCUGCUCCUGCAAUAAAUAACAAAUGGCAUUUACUGAUAAAUCAUUGUAUCAUGAAACACCAUCGGUGCUUUCAAAAUGACAAAUCAAUAAAGCAAAUUAAUAACUUCAUAUUUGCACAAGAAUAGUGAGCACAUGUUAGCUGGGUAGCUUCCCACAUGAUGUUGCCAUUUAAAUAUCUCCGUCAUGAUUGAACAAGAGAAAACAUUUGGAUAGCAAAGAAACAUUUUUUUACAUGUAAAUUAGAAGAUUGGAGAAGGUAUCUCAUAAAAUUUCCACAAGACAAACAGAAUUUUAAUAAAACUAUAAGCAUAAAGGCUUAGAUAUUUUGAGCUGAUUUUGACACCUGUUAAGAACAUGUUCAUCUUGUGGUAAAAACCAAUUCUCAAUCAAUUUCAUUUGCAUACCAACAGAUUUCAUAAUAGAUUAAGCUUAUACAACCAAGGAAAGGCCCUCCCAAGAUUGCAAGUAGUUGGUAAUAGUCAAAAGAUUAGAUAGAGAAGUCAAUGACUGAAACUGUCACAUCAAGUGAAAUGAUGAUAUUAUUAGGCAUAAACCCUAGAAGGGCAGGAAACUUCUCUUUGCUUCAACCAAGUCAUCUCAAAUCUAAAAUCUAGUACCCCAUAGAUAAAAAAGAACACCACCUAAAAAAUAAAACCUCAACUGUUUAAUGCUUUGCCUGCCUUAGAAGCCAUGUAAUGCCAGAGACCAUCGCUCAUAGCCUUGGCAUGCUGAACACACCACAAAUCCAAUAGUUCAAGGCACGGUACAAGACAAAUUGAAGCUAAGGACUUUAGUUAAGUUUCCAUAAUAGUUUAAAGAUGGUCCUAUAUGAUUUAUUAUUUACUGGAUAACGCAAGACAAAUUGCAUUUCCAAAAGCCAUAAAAUGGUUCACAAUUUAACAAAAAAAGCUACACUAGCUAUUGCAAUUUUACUUUAAAAUUAAAAACUUCAAAAAGAGGAGUCUUCAAUUUGGUAGCAUAGUGAAUGCAAAAGCAUUAAAUUCAGACUAUAUACAAAAUAAAGUCAAACUGGUUCAUAAUGCUUAGGGGACUGCAAGUAUAUUAGUUUGCAUGAUUUCAAUAACCAACCUUCUGGCUUUGCAAUAAAGCUUAGAACACGAUUGAUGAAAUUCCCUAAGUUGUUCAGCAACUCAGUAUUCAGCUUAGCCUGCAAGUCUGCCCAUGUAAACAAUGUGUCCGAUACCUGAUUCACAAAAACCAAUCAGGAUACUACAUAUGGCAACAAGUACUGGAUCUAAUUGGCAAAAUUUUAUGGGCAUUUAGAAUCAAAACUACGGUUUAUCUUAGGACUCACCUCAGGCCUAUUCGUCAACAAAUAGUAUCUCCAUACUUCAGUAGGAAUCUUUGUAUCCUUGGCAUCAUUACCAAAAACUCCAAUUCCCUUACUUUUAGAAAACUUUCCUGCAACACCACAAACAGGUAAAUAAACCAGAAUAUUCUAUGUACCAAGAGCAUAAAACUGUCUUACAGUAAAUUACAACCACAUAACUUUAUAAGGUUACCAAAAACAUUUCAACAAUACUGCACGUUGCUAUGAUUAAAGAGUUCAGAUGGAAUCUAUUUCAAACUCAAUUUUAAUAGUACAAAGAGAAAACUAAAAUGUUAUUAGGAUGGAUGGACAUGAAUUCCUGUAAUAGAAGUUAGGUUCCUUGGAUCAAUCAAUCAACAUGGCAGAGGGAUUGAGGAUACUAUGCAUAGAACAAAAGUUGGGUGGUUAAAUUGGAGAGGAGUGUGAUCACUGAGUGCUUUUAUAGAAGAAGAAAAUUUUCAUAAGAGAUGAGGGAGACCUAAGAAUGAUAAUUAUAAAAAAGAUAAUUAAAAUGCUUUACAUUUAACUAGAGAUAUUGCCUCGCACAAAGUUCAAUAGCAGCAAAAAAUCCAUAUAACUCCUCCAAUUAUUUGGGAUUAUUAUGAAUUAUUGUUGUUGAUCACGAAAGCAGAACCAACAUAGUUAUAAUAAUUGAUGGAUUCAUUUCAAUUGAAUUUACCUGAAAUCAAAACUGAAUAUGGUUAUGAAUCUAGCUUGAAUGCAGCUAAUUGGUCAUCAUCAUAAUUCUUCCUAGCAUAAAGGUUCACCAGGUUGUAAGGGUGAUAGUAUUCACUAGUAACAAACUCAUGAAAUUUUGCAGUGAAUCUCGAGAAAUCUAGAAAUGGCGGCUCUUUGGCUGUACAUUUGGUAUUCAAGUAGUUCAGCUAAUCCAGCACCCGCAUAGAAAAUGACUCUUACCAUGUGGUUAUGCUAAUCCAAGUAUUUUGAUGUCAUUACUUGAAACCAUGAACCCCAACAAAAAUGCCGCACAUCUUAUAUCAAUUUUAAGUUGAUGGCAGAAUAUAUAUGACAUUGUGAUACAAAAACCUACUUAGUUAGUUAGUUAUCAACCAAUCAUCUACUACUUGACAUUGUGAUGCAAAAACCUACAACAUUAUCAACCAAUCAUCUACUACCACUGAAUGCCCCUUUGUUAAUCGACUCCAACAAUUUCAGUCUUGGCCUUAGAUGUAGCCUCGAAUCCAGAGAGUUCAAUGUUGAUGACAAAAGGCAGUAGUUCUGUAGUUGUACUUACGUGUAUCUGAGAGUAAUAUGUCGUUGGUGAGAAGAGACAGAAUAUUUAUUAGCUUGUGAUAAAAGAACCUAGUUCCUUAUCAAACUGUUUCUUUAACUACUACUGCUACUAAUUUUCCUUUUGUUAAUUGACUCCAACUACUCCUGCAUUGGCCAUUUUGGGAUGUAGCCUUUAAUCUAGAGAGUUUGUUAGUGAGGUGCAAUCUCUGUGAUGUCAGAAGAAAAUCUAGCAGCAGUGCCCCAUUUGAAACUGUGUAGCUGAGAGUAACAUGUGGUUGGUGAGAAGAUAGAAGAAAUAUAGAAAAGACAUGUAUAAGGAUAUUUGUAGGUUAAUAGACAUCUAAAAAUUCCCGAUUAUUUAUGAUUGUUGAAAGACAAUUCUGUAAUUUUUUUUUCCUCCCUAUAAAUAUACAUGUAUAUAUCAUGCAAACAAAGGUGCCCACUCAAGAUUGCCAAUAGGCACCAGAUGCUCCAACCAGGGUUUUUAAUAUCGUUCCAUACUGCCGGAUAUGGGUGGUAUGUACUGGUCCGCCAGCUGACCGGCACGCGGACCCCCGCUACCGGGCGGUAUUAGCUUGGCUGCAAUGAGGCGGGACGAGGAAGAAGAGGGCAUUCAAAGAAAAGGGAGAAGCAUCGAAGAAGAGGGAGAAGCAUUGAGAAAGAGUAUCGUGGAGUCACUGAUGCCCUUUCUCGAUUCUAAUCUGACGCCGCCCUCCCUCGACAAUCCCGAUCUAGGAGGUAACAACGAGGAGAAUCGUACCUUUUUGGGGGGGGGAGUUGGAGGCGCGGGGAUCAGGGGAAGCGAUGGUGAGAGUAGCGAAAGAGGCAACGAAGACCCCGGCCUUCUUCAUCUCCGAACGUCUCCUUUGUCCACUGUUGCUGCACGAAGAACCUUCCGAUGUCGAUGUCAUCUUUCUUCUCCCCACCUCCUUGACGUCGAAGGCCGUAGACGAGACAAUCGCUCAGUAUGUCGUAUCUAUAUCUUUUUAUAUCUUUAUCUAUUAUUUUUUAUUUUUAUAUUUUUUAUAUAAAAAGAUAAAUACUUUUUUUAAUAGUGAUCCUGUACGCCUAACUUUACAUUCAAGCACUGUCUACGCAUGGCUUAGAUAGUUUGUCUUCAUCAAUACACAUAGAAUAGGAAUAGGGUGGAAUAAUGCCACCGAAUAUAGUACUGCUCGGUAUAACAUACUGUAUCAUACCGAGCAAAGCUUGAAAUACCGAUACAGUAUGAAAUUUCAAUCAUUGGCUCCAACCAUAAACGUAACUGUUUGGGGUUUACUUUUUCUUCAUAGAUCAUCCCAUGACCAAGUUCUAAAGAGUUACAGAUAAAUCCAAGCAUUGUUAUUUUAAAUAUACUUUGCCCAAAAGAUGCAUAUAAAAUAAACCAAAUAUACAGAAAGAACAAUCAUAAAAAGAACCUGUUCAACAAUCUAAAUACAUAACUAUGAAUAGGCAGUCAAUAGUACCUGAUUCAUAAUUUAAAUAUUCUGUGACACUUAUCGUCUUCAUCAUGGUCCACCUUUCGCCAGUUCCAAGUAGAGUAGAAGGAAACAUUACCUAGAACACAACAGCAUAUUAAUAUCUAAAGAAAUACUUUCUGUCAAGGAGUGACUUCAGAUACAUAACAAACACAGUAAUGUAUGUACAUCCAGGUCUGAAUAAAGAGUCCAAAAAUACAGCAGCAGGCAAAAUUCACCCUGAAAUUAGUGGUUCAACACUUAAGGUGUUAGAAUUUAUGAGUGGUUAACCAUAUAAGUAUAAGUAUGUACUGAACUAUUUCGUAAUGUGACAGACCCUUUGAAUAAGUUUUUGGACUUUAAAAUAACCCAAACACACAGGGAGGUAAUAGGGCUUAUAACUGGCUCGUUGUUAGCAUGAUGUGAAGUUGGCAUUUUAUAUAUCUCCUCCAUGCUGAUAUAUACGCAAAGAUGAACUAUUCCUUAAAAUUCUAAGAACAUAUCAUGGGAUUUCAUGGUGUUACAAAAACCAUGAUGCUACUAUCAGUACACUUGGUGUCUUAUUCCUCUGAUAUUGUCAGUAUUCACUCAACUAGACAUCAUUAUACAUGAAAUGCCUCAUGAACUUACUUGUAAUAUUCACAUUUUAACACUGAUGAAACAAAAAUUAGCUUGUUGAAAGCUUAUCUAUGUGUGCUCAUUUCCCAACUAUAUUAGACACUAGAAUAAACUCAGAUUUACGUUGCCCAUAUGCCCCAUACUAAUGCAAACUUGCCACGUAUGUGAAAAAGAAAAUUGUCACAGAAACCCUACAGUUGGUGACCAAGUAUAAUGAAUCCAUGGGUUGAUAAAAAAAAAAUAUCUCUUGCAACUUAAGUAGCAUACUCAAAAUCCCAAAUUCACCAUGCUAAAGUGAUUACAUUUUAGAUCGCAAGCACUUGAAGAAUAGACUUCAGAUUGUGUCAAAUUUUGUCACAAUACAAAUACAAUGGUAUACAUAAGAUAGAUUGUGUCUUUGAAUGCUAAUGUACGAAUGAAGAGCAGAAUUUUACUGUGUGAAAUGGCACGUUAUCCUUGCCCAUAAAUUGAUACAACUCCACAUUAUCAGGAUUCUUCCACCAUUGCUCCCACUCGGAAGUGUAGCAUGCAGUGAUAGAAAUAUAUCCAAUAGGGGCAUCAAACCACACAUAAAACACCUACACAGAUAUAUACCAAGGGUCAAUUGUUAGGGUUGAUACCACUAUGACAUUAUCUCUUAGAUCUCUUAAGAGCAUAAAACUGAAAAGUGCAUGAAGCAUCAAUCAGUUUCCAUUAUAGAUGUCAAUCUAAAUGCUUUUAAAUUGCAAGGAUUUCUUGUACCUUAUCUUUAUACUUCUCAUGUGGCACUGGAACUCCCCAUUUAAGAUCCCUUGUAAUACAACGAGGUCUCAGACCUUCUUUCAGCCAUGCAUUUGUCGCUUGAAUAGCAUUUUGGCUCCAAGAUCCAGCCACUGACAUGGUGUUAAUGUAUUCUUCCAGCUUCUCUCUCAGCAAGGGUAGCUCUAGGAACAAAUGAUCUGUAUCACGUAUGCGAGGAGCGGUACGACACACCUAAUAUGAUAAUAACUCCACUUAGGUGUAUAAACAAGCCAAAUACAUCAUUCACGGUAAGAGCAAUCUGACACAAAAUAUACUACUUACACUUGAAGGUCAAAACAAUAGGCUGAAACUUGCUAUAUCUUAGUAGACAAUUACCUUGCAUUUGGGAUCUUUCAGUUCAGUUGGAUUUAACAGUUUUCCACAUUUUUCACAUUGGUCACCACGUGCAGAAUCAUAAUUACAAUCCAAUGUAGGGCAUGUACCCUCAACAAGCCGAUCCGCCAAGAAGCGUUGGCAUGUGUCACAAUAUAGCUGCAUUUGAUUUCAAAAGGCAAUAAUUUUUGCCAAAAAUGACAAAAUAAAAUACAGGCAUAACUUGUAAAAUGCACCCGAUUAAUUCAAAUCACAGUAAUUACAAAGCUAUUAACAUACCUGCUGCAUGGUAUUUUCAGAAAGCCACUUGUUAUCCAGUAGUUUAUGGAAAAUUGCUUGGCAGACUUCGGUCUGCUGAGGAGCGGAUGUACGUCCAAAUUUGUCAAAGCUUAUAUCAAACCACUCAUAGACGUCUCUGUGAAUGGCAUGGUAUCUAGAAACAUGCAGAAAAUUAUAUUUAAAAGGUCAUAACAGUACAAGUUUAGACCAAAAGUAACAUAGAAGACUACUUUAACCACUCAUCAACCUCGUGUGGAUUGCAUGGUCUCUAGAAAUAUGAAGAGAAUACAUUUCGAAGACCAUAACAAACAAUGCAGAAUAAAUGUUGAUUGAUUCCCAUUUCUUAUCACUUGCAUCCACAAAAAAAAACAGUGUCUUUCUUCUAUGUGACAAUGGCCAUUUGUUGGAAGUUUCAAAAGAUUGCCAAGGCAAAUUACCUAAAAUGUAAUCCUUUUUCGGUUUUUCUUUCUUUGACAGAAGCACUCAUAUAUAAUUUCAGGAAUUAAAAUGAUUCAGAACUAUUUAAGGAAAAUACUCAAAUAGACUACAUACAUACAAAUAUAACUACCAUCACUAAACUAUCAGAUGCUUUACUAUUCAAUUAAGCAAUCAAAACAGAUGUAUGGAUCGCAUUUCACUCACUUGUCACAAAUCUCCUUCGGGGAGCAAUUCUCCUCCAUAGCCUUCGUCUCAGUGGCAGUCCCAUACUCAUCCGUCCCACACAUAUAUAUCGUGUUGUACCCCCGGAGUCGGCAGUAGCGAGCAAACACGUCCGCACUCAAAACGCCUUAACCAAACCAAAAAUCCGUCAACUUUCUCGAUCACACCACCAAAUACUCCCAAAAAUAACCCAAUUUUUCAACCCAACAAAAUGAAAAGACAACAACUUCAGACGAAAUUAUCAAAGAAAAAAAUAAAAAAGUAUACAUCCGAUGAUGUUGCCGAGGUGAGGGACGUUGUUGACGUAAGGCAGCGCGCUGGUUAUGAGGAUGUUGCGGCGGCCGGGGAUCGGGAGCUUGGGUGCCUUCUUAGCCGAGGAAUCUGCCAUGGAUGCCUCGAUCUAACGGAGAGAGGAAGAUGGAUCAAAGAGUAACGUCAAGCCGUUCUCUCCCGGUGCUUCUUGGAUCGAUUCGUGCGCAUCGAGUGGGCGAAUGGAGUCGUCGUUUUAUUGGUUCGGAAAACCCUAGGAAGAGUUGGGAGCUCGUCGCCGGGCCGUGCGGGUUUAAUGGGCCUUCCGAAACGGAGUUGUAGGCGUAACAAUUCCGCCGACGUGUCGUGAUCAAGGCCGUCAAAUUAUCCCUUGCACUCCUCGGUUUUUUUGCCCCUCAAAAACGUUUCUCUCUCACCACCAUAUCAAAGGGUGAGAUGAUCAAUUUUGAUCAUAUAUAUAUAUAUAUAUAUAUAUAUAUAUAUAUCUUCAUAUUAGAAAAUAUUCAUAUUUUUUAUCUUAUUUUACUUCACUUCGAAUGGAGUCGACCUUCCCAUGAUUAAAUUUUAGUUUGCUAUAGGCAAAAAAAAAAAAUGUUCCUCUUACAUGUCAUGCUAUGCUCAAUAGACGCAUCAUCAUGUGUCGAGUUACGAUUGAUCGAAAAUAAUAAUUAUAUCGUUAUUAUGUAUUAAGUCUUAUACAUACUAGAGCACAGUGCCUUAGUCCAAGAUGGAUUCAUUGGGUAUAUAUACAUUGUAUGUUUUAAUUCAUAUGUACGAUAUGAAAUCCUUAUGUAAGGGGAUAUAUUUUAUCUAGUAAGAUCAUAUUAGAUGCCUUAUGUUUUUGUCCUGAGAGCAUGCAUUGUGCCAAAGGGGAUGACUUGGCUUCAUCGAAAUGCUUUGGGUUACACACUUGCACAUGCUCUUUUAUCUCGAGCAAAUGCAUCACAGAUCAAAGAGAGACACACACUUUAAAUAAUAUUGUUAGAUGUUUAUUUGUCUUUGGUGGAUGCAUUAUGUGCAAUAGAGAAGCUUUUGGAUCGCAUUAGAUAUUUUAGAUGGUUUUUUAUAUCCUAUCGUAACAAUAUAAUAUAAAUAUAAAUAUAAAUGACACUAUAUCAAUAUUAAACCACAUACUAUACCAUCAUCCAUGUUAAAAAAAGUGAUGCAGUGGGAACUUCAAAAGAGUUAAAACAAUAUGAUUUAGCGUUCAGCCAAGUUUUCAUUUUCCAUGGAGCUUGAAACAGAUCAAGCAUUAAGCAAUAAAGUGAAGAAAAAUGAUGCAGAAAAAGAAAAGACUAUGAAAGGAGAGACAAACAUCAUCCUAUCACCACAAGCUUUCUGGUUCCCCCCUGGUUAUGUGAUUUAAGAUGAUGAUUUGAAGAGUACACAGAAUAAUUUGUUGAUGUGGAAGAAAUCACAUUCUCCCUUCUAAUAUCAUGGAUCUUGUGUUCAUUCUCAAUCUAUUAUUGGGCCAGAACAAAAUAUUCUCAGAGAAUCUGUCUCAUCAUUUAUUAGAUCUUGAUAGAAAAAUUUACAAGGCUUCCAUGCAUUCAAAUUGGAUUUAUCAGUCAAGAUCAGAACAUUCCGAGGACACAACAACUAGAAAUUCCCACUGCGCUUGCCCUUGUUUUUGCCGUACAAGCGGAAGAGGUUGAAGGCAGACAUGGAGGAAACAGCCACCAUGCAGAGGCUACCUAGGAAGGCACUCACCAUGCCCCCCCCACUUUGGUUGCAGAAUUUAUGGUAGAGGUUGCAUACCUUCAUCCACUGGAGCUCUGUCUGGCCGAACUGGCUGAGCUCUGCAGCUUGUGCUGCCGCCGACACCGCUGCCAAUGUGAGAUACGCCACGACCUGAAGCGACACCAUGCAUGAAAAUAGUGAUUACAGUCUUAUAUAUUUUCUUAUCACUAUCAUUUUAUCUAAAAGCCUAAACCUUUGAUGAGACAAUUUAUUUUAUAACACUCCUGCCUUACAUGUACUUGGGUAGAUCGGCACAAACCUUACAUCCAAAAUUUGAACUGAUCGAAUAUAUAUAUUCAAUGCAUGAUCUGGAGUAGUUUUGGACAUCGCUAUCAUGUCAUCAUGAACUUUUUUUGACAUCAUAGCUUUUUAUCACUGUCAUUCUUAGCUUACAAGAUCAUAUUUUUACUUGUUUUUAGGUUUGACUAGAGAAAAUUUACAAGUAUCAGUUUUUGUAAUACUGAUACUUAUUUUUAAUAUGUGAUAGAUUGCUAAGACCAAUCUGAAAUAUAAAUUUGUAGUGCCCACAUAGCCUGCCAGACUCUGCAGAUAAAUCAUGAACUUGAGGCCAAGUUUAGGGCCUCAGAUGAAUCUCUGGCCUAUGCACAAAAUCUGCUGUGAAGAGCACAUGAAGCAGAGGUGACUUUUCUCUAGCUAAACAACUAUUAGAUGCAAUGGCAAAUGCCCUUUUUCUGUCUACAAAGUUUAAUUUUGUAAAUCAAUUGUCAACAAUGCAGAACUUUGUCUAGUACUUCACAAGCCAGACAAAACAUCAACACCAGUUGCUGAUCAUUCAGCAACUUUGGCCACAGAAGUCACUACCACCAGAACUAAAAGGUCAGUUGAUAAGGUAGAGAUUCUCAUUCAAUGCAACAUAGUUUAAGUUAAUGCUGCAAUGGUGACAUGGGUUAAUCAGCUACCUGAUCACAAGAGAAGAUAGCCCAAGCCAAGGCCUUGUUGAAGAGGACACUCCCCUUCAUCAUGCUCACCACACUCCUCACCACCAUUAGCAGACUAUAGCCUGCAGCUAUCCCAUUUGCUACCACUAGGAACCUGUCAAUCCAACCAAAACCAUAUAUGGACUCAGAAAUCUGAGAUUUAUGCUAUAACAGUGUAAAAAUAUAUAUAUAUAGACUUCACAAAUACCACCAUUUGAAUCUUCUGUGUUAUGAAGAAUUAGAAACAAAAAAGAGAGGGGUUUCUUCAUAGAUCUACACAGAAAUGAACUUGUAAUAACCACAGAAGAAAUAGGAAGGAUGAAGAGAAGGUCUUACACCAGAGCUUUCAUGUCAGUGAACUUGGCCUUCUUUUCCACAGAGAAGAACUCCCUAACCUGAGUGUCAGAUCCUACUAGAACAGCAGCAAUCACCCCAAACGCACAUGAGAGACACCUGAGCACAACCUCAGCCACCUUCAUCCUCCUCUCCACAGCCAUCAGCUUCCCACCUCCAUAGUACACUGGCACGGUCCCAGGGCUCACCCCAACCUCCGGCCUCAUCUCCUCCCUCUAAAAUCCUUGACAACACACAAGGCAGUGAAGCUUUACGAAGAACAGUCACUUCCCUUUUUUAUGGCCAGAGAUUCCCAAUCCCGCGCCUCGACAAAGAAGGCAGGGGGGUCAAUCUGAUUGAUACAAGACUCGGGAACUUGAAGACGGAGCUGCCCGAUGCCCCAUUCAAGAGGGCAUGGUGAGUGCAUUAUGAGGUCCUCAUCUGCAGCACAAGGAACAAGGACUGAUGCAUGAACAGUACCUCAGACCAUUGACAUGUGGCAUGGUAAUGACUCUGUCUUUUUGAUGUGGAAACAGUGUGGAAGAUUGGAGUCAGUGGAAUCUUUGAUUACAGCCAACGAAUAGAUCUUUAGCCAAGUUUGGACUGUUUUGGUUAUAGUCAAUCCAUGGUUGGUGGUGUGUCUUUACUAUAUAUAUAUAUAUAUAUAUAGUCUCACAUCUUGAGAACAUGUUUUGGUAUAAAAAUUAGACUAACUUUUUUUCUUAAACUCCACAGAUCUCACUCAAACUUCAUCUUUUCUUCAUUUAGAAUUGUGCAUUUAGAAAAUUACAUGAGGAUUUUGUACUGGGAAACUAAAAAUGCAUAUAUUUUCUAUUGUUAAGAUUGACAAGAUACUUAUGUUCUUAUUAAUUAUGUGUAUUGAUUUGUUUAUUAGUAGUUGAAAGGCCAUAUAUAUAUAUAUACCAUAUCACUAUUUGUUCUUUGAUUGUAGUAGGGACAUUGACACCAAUGUAAAGGACAAUUUUGCCCAAAAGGUAAAUAUAUGUAAAUUACUAAAAAGCUAAUCAAUGCAAGCUCAACAUUUAACCUUCAAUCUAGUCCAUGAGUGUUGGAUGUUGAGGUGAUUUGGAGGAUAAUAAAGUUAAUACUAAAUGAAAAUUAUUUUAAGAGACAUGUGCAUAAACGAUGUUCAAAACUAGGAUGAUAUUUGUGAUAGCUAAAUUGCAAAUGUUAUAAGGUAAUAAAUUCAUUUGUAAUAUUGGAGACAGUAAAUAUAGGAUUUGCUUUUGUAAUUUUUGCAAUUUAAUGGAAAUUUUUGACAAGAUGAAAUGUUUUUGCUUGUACAGUACAAUUGAGAGAAGAUACUAUGUAAUAGUCUCCAUUUACAUGGUGUCUGCCAAUGAAAGAUGGCUUAUAUGUGUUGUCUUUUUGUUCUAUGUGAUCAAAAUGAAAAAGAAAAAUCAAAGCUAAAUUGAGGAUGGAAUUUAUUAAAUCUAUUCAAGUACACAGUUCAUAGAGGGAUUGUGGCAAACCAAAUAUAUCAUUUACAUUUUAUAUUUCAGAUAGAUAAGAGAUGUUGACAAGGGAUCAGAUUUGAGGGAAUAUUUUGGCCUUGUGUGGAGAUCUUUCCUUCUUGCGAAUCCAUCAAAUCAAGAACUUGUCAUUCUUUUGACAAAUAUCUUUUGACUGUCACUCAUAAGCAGAAGCAUUGAGUGUAAUCAUCUUUUUUUGUUCUAGUGGGAGUCACUGAAAGCUGAAGCAAGCUCCAAAUUUUGACAAUGGAAAUCAAAGACUGGAAAAAGGCUUUGUGUUAUGAUGAUGGGAGCCUGUUGGCAAUUGGAAGCAUUAAGUUGCUGGGCCAGUGACAAUCAUGGAAUAUGGUUGUGUUGGGAUCCCAAAUCUGGGAGAACUAAAUUUUGGAAUAUGUGAUAGAAGGUUCUUGCCAUCUCUUUAUUAAGAUAUACUAAAAUUUAGGACAAAGUUCGGUGCAUUGGGAUUGCAUUGAAUGCUAGUUUGAAUAUUCUCUGUUGUCAGCAUAGAGGAUGUCCUUUUCAUCCAUUAUCAUCAUCCACUAGUUUAGUGGGGAUAGGCAUGAUCAGAAAAGAACAAGAAGAAAAGGAAUUGCUGGAUAGAUCACCACAUUUAUCAAUGGAUUUUGUAUGACCUGAUCCAAUCUCAAAUCUCCUGAUCCCUUGAUCCAAUCAAUAGAUUGAUCCAGUCUAAUUGUCUAGUUGAAAACCAGUUGGGGCAUAAAUUGACCUGAUUACUUUCUGUUUAUUAUCACAUAAUGCAAGUAACAUUGGAUAAGUGUUUGGCAACCAGUUAAUUUACAGUGAACUCGAAUUGCAACAGUGCCUGCUCAUGGCUGGAGAUCAAAGGUGGAGUUGAGCUCUCAUGUCAUACUGAUACUGCCCAGCAAUGUAAUUAACCAUGGUAGUAAGAGGAAGUGAAGCAUAAGUUGACAUGGAAGUGGUGGAAAGAGAACCUUAAAAGGCUUGCAUUUUAUUAAUGGAGAUUCAUGAAACAUAAACCAAAUAAUUUGCUCAUGCCUUUGUUGGCAUGACACUGUUAUGGCUUUUCUAGUUUAAGGUUGAAACAGGUAAAGACAACCUUUGAAGCAAAACUAUCAAUUAAUAUGCACACCAUUGAGUCUCAAACAAUCUCAUAAUAAAGGAAGUCCCCCUGUUAAUUUAGCAUUAGAUUAAAAAAAAUCCAUAUUUCUGUAGUUCAGUGUGCAACAAAUUUAACUCACAAGCCAAAAUUGAUCCUCAUUCACCUAGGAUGAAAAAGAAAAGGACUUUUUUUUGGACUUUAUCUGCACUUUUGCAGCUCAAUUUGUCAAAGUUGGAUCCUCAAUAGGUCAGCUUUAAGAUGCCACUUUUUACCUUAUUUCCUUCUUGGAUGCUCAAAGCCCUUGAAGCUAAGAGCAGAUUCAACAGCAGAAAUAAAUGAUACACAAAGAAUUGGAGUCUUCAUGAGUGAAUAAUGUGAAUGAUCUCAGAUAAAAUAAAAAAUAUUAGACAAGCAAACAAAAAAUCUAAAGAAAAGAAGUGAUUCCAAAUCUGCAGCUCAAAACUAUUAGCAGAUACCUAACAGCAAUAGGAUGCACUACCAAAGGCUAAAUACCACACCAUCAAAUUAUCCAGAAAACAACAAACUGUAAUAUUGGUGCUUCCCCUGAUGAGCCUACAAAAGAAAUGUCAAGCACAUUCUGAAAGACUGAAAACCACUUCAAUACAAAGACCUGAGUAAAGACAAUUAAUUAUAAGCAUCAAAUCAUAUAAAGAUGAAGAUUGGUUCAAAAGACCAACUGGAACUACAUCAAGCAACAUCCAGAUGAUAAUAUCAACACUCCUUGGUUGUGGACUACUAAUCCUUGGCUGUAAAUUACUACAUAAAAUAGAACCAGGAAUCUCUAUGGGCAGUCAGCAGCAGCUCAUUUUUACUUUUACCCUGCUGCAUUUGAUCGAAUGCUAUGCACAUUCUUCAAUAAAUCCUGGAUUUUUACUUUUCCACUGCUGAUCUCCUGAAGCUCUAUCUUUUCAAGCAGAUAUUGCUUCUCAGUUUCUGCUUCUUCAAGACAAUGCUUCAGGUUACAUACUGGCAUAGUGCUGCUCAGCAUUCUCUGAUUUAGCAAGUGCAAUUCCCUGUAGCCUCACAGUCUCCUGUUUGACCUCGCUGGCCUGAAGCUGGAACAUCUUAGCCUCUGUUUCAUCUUCAGUCCAGUGGUUUCAUUGUCCCCUUGCUUUUCCUUCUCUACUUUGUUUCCCGUGACGGCAACUGGGCGGUUUGUCUCGAUGGGCCAGGCCUCAUGCGAGCUGGCAUUCUCAGUGGGGGAGCUUCGCCAUUAGAAUAUUAUCGUGGUUCUUGGGAUGCGGGUGAGUCUGCAUGGUCGGACGAAGCGAGGGACCGACCUCGGAGGCUGGCGUGGGAGGAAGCAUUGCCGGUGGGGCUUGCUGGUGAUGGUUUGCACCAGAAGAGGUGCCCAAAUCAAUUGCUAGUAUGCUGUUAAACCUUCACCUGCAACAUAUGCAUCACCAAAACUGCCUUACCUGAGGGUUUGAAUCCAACUGAUGCAACUAGCAAAAGAAGUACGCAUCAAAAACUAAUACGUUUCAAGAUCCUUAAUUUCGCCAAUAAAUGCCGCCAAAAUCCAAUCUUUUUAUUUCUAGGGAGGGUCAGAAGAUUAAAAAGUGCACGUUUCUGGAUUCUAGAACCCUAAUCUAAAGUAGAAACAGCAAGCGAUUCAGAAGUGCGAAAACGAAUUAGGCGAUUCGCAUUAGAAUCCACACGUCCAACAUGAUUUCAACUAACUAACAAAAAGAAAAGGGCCGGAAAUCGGAGGAUCCAAAGGGGGACGAAUACGAACGAACAGCAAGCUUGCAUUACCUGGAGCUUGAAUCUCCCAAAGGGCGGACCGCGGGAAGCAUCGUGACCGAAGCGAUCGCAGUAACACCGAGAGAAGAAAGAGAUUAGGUCUCUCUCUCGCGUUUUCUCGUGCGCCGGAAGUCCUCCCUCCCGAAAAAGACAACGAUGACACAUACAAGUCACGACUAAACUUAAAUCAAAUUACGUGGCGCAUAUCGAGAAGCGUACUCGCCCUGCACCACCUCAGCCCGCCGUCAGAUAUCCAUCACAUUCCGUAUCCGUGACUCAACUCGUGUCGUGAUAUUACUGCUCGCGUUUCAACGCGUCAAACGUGAUGACAGCGAGAUGAUAAUAGACGGGCAACCACGGGGCCCCAUCCAAUGGAGAUCUGCCACGUCAUUGAACACUUUUGUAGCCUGUUUUACUGAAGACAGACUAUCCUCAUCCAACGCAAAAUAACAAAUAAUAUCACCCCGAUAAUUUUCAAGGACGAUUCGACCCAGCUGGACAAACAGAUGUGCAGCUACAAAGCUGAGAUUUACCCCUCCAAUUUUCAUUAUUAUCAUUGCAGCAUUUCAUUAUUUUCAUUAUAUAUAUAUAUAUAUAACAAUAAUAAUAAUUACAAAUAGAAAUUUGACGAUGAUAAAAAGAUUAUGGUCUCAUUCACAGCUAGACAUGAAAUUGAUGGGAUCAUCAUUUGGAGCUUCUUAUUUAACUUUUUUUAGUGGGUAUCAAAAGGGCAUUUCUCUUUUAUUUGGCAAUAAGAAAUAUUUUUUAACCUAUUUUGUUGAUCAUAUCUUUGAAUACUAACACUUCUUCCACCAAUAAAGGAAGACAUAUAAUAUAAAGUCCCAUGUCAUGAGAAGAAUGUUAUUUUCAUGAAGGUUAGACAUUAUUAUUUUUAUGAUCCCAUAUGGGUUGUAACAUUUUUGCAGAAUAUAAAUAAAUUCUAAAUGAUUGUAUAUAUAUUUAAAAAUAUAUAUAUAUAUGAAGAUAUUAGAAAGUCAAAUUUAAAAUUAUACUAUUGUUGAAAGUUGUAACAAUGUGGUUGUGUCAUGUUCUUCUUUCCUUUAUGGCAAAAAAAAAAAUUGUACUUGUUGUUUGAAGUCCUUUUUUUGGGGGGGAAAUUAAUCAUAUUUAUGCAUAAGAGAGAUUUAUGUGAUUUUGCUUCUUCUCAUCUUUUUUCUUCAGAUAUUCCAUUGUUGAUAGGCAUGAUGCUUCCAGACAAGAGAACAAGCUCCAUCCAUCCACCAACAAGAAGACAAGAAAUUGUGUGGAAUAAGUUGUUGAUUUUGAUUAGACAUAUAGAAAAACCACACAUGGACAAGAUUAGGUUUUCAUUGUCACUUUGGACAAGAGAAGACAAGUCAUUAUACAUAUCAUGAGAAGUGGCUGUUGCUUGGAGUGGAAGCAAGUCAAGAAACAUGCAAAAAGUUGACCAUUAUUAGGGGUGCAAAAUGGAUCAGAUACAGAUAGAACAUUGGACAAGGAAACAACUUAUAGAAAACUCAAUUUUUGACACAUUUAUCUUUCUCUUUGAUCCAAUCAAACAUUCAAGCUGUUCCAAUUGUUUUUUGUGAUAUUCAAUGAUUGAUUUAGUUUUAUGACCAUUGCAGUACUUAUGGCUUUUUUUCCUCCAAAGCAGUUAUAAAAUAAUGUCUACAUAUCAAGAUUUGGAACAUUGACUAUGGAUCAUUUUGUUUGACAUUUCAUUGCUACAAGUACCCCCAAAAAACAAAGUGUUGUCUAGUCCCUUUAUAUAUGUGGUGAAAAAUAUUACAUUUUCUAAAAAUUUACUUACAUUGAUUGUAUAUUUAUUUUUGUUGAUGAAAUUUAUGAGUCUUGCAUAUUACACUGAUUGCAUAUGGUACAUAAUUUGGACUAUGCAUCAUUGCCUGUCCAAUCCUAACACUAUAAAUGGUAAGGAAAAUAUUACUGUUGUUGUAGCAACCCCAAGUACAUGUCAAUAAUCCCCAUGCAGCUCCAAGGUUGAGAUAGAACAUGGCUUCAACACCCCACAUGCAAGAAGAGCAUGUGAAAGCAGUCAGUAGCCUCUGAUGAAGCUGCAUGCUUCUUCCACUGUGAUCUGUUCAUGCACAGUGGCAGAGACCAUAGAGGACAUUUUACAUGAUUGAAUGCCACAGGACAUGGCUUGUAACUUUGUGUUCUUAUCAGACACAAACCCCCAAAGCUAAACAGGAGGCUGCAUGGAGGCUUGCUGUUC
RNAcentral lists this long non-coding RNA (24259 nucleotides) under Musa acuminata (dwarf banana). Its description in RNAcentral is "long non-coding RNA (MACU_LNC004886)". The stretch from base 1221 to 1307 matches the Rfam family "Small nucleolar RNA R16". Lineage: Eukaryota; Viridiplantae; Streptophyta; Magnoliopsida; Zingiberales; Musaceae. The record is from RNAcentral.